This 386-nucleotide long non-coding RNA is filed under the name Brassica napus (rape). RNAcentral describes it as "long non-coding RNA (BNAP_LNC004493)". The record is from RNAcentral. Lineage: Eukaryota; Viridiplantae; Streptophyta; Magnoliopsida; Brassicales; Brassicaceae.
CUCUAAAAUAGAAUAACUCUAUAAUAGAGUUUGAAUUUGCUCCAAUGAUAUUUUAUUUUAGAGUAAACAAUAGAAUGAUGAACAAAAAAAACAUUAAUUUAUAUUUGGAGUAAACCAAUUUUUCACUCUAUUAUAGAGUACUAGAAAUAUUUUUUACUCUAAACUAUAUUUUAAAAUAAAAAAUAGAAUGAGGUUAGAAAUGCUCUAAAUGUUUCAUAUAUGGUCAACUAAUUUUCAGCGUUCAUACCAAUGUCUUUACUUGGAAGUCUCCGUCUUAUAUUCGUUCGAUGUUGUUAAUUACUUGGAGCAUUCUGUCUUAUAUUCGUUCGAUGUUAUUAACUGAAUAAUUACUCACAUUUUGAAACUUGUACGUCUCUUUCUCUCUC